Molecule: long non-coding RNA, 1786 nt
Filed under: Cricetulus griseus (Chinese hamster)
Lineage: Eukaryota; Metazoa; Chordata; Mammalia; Rodentia; Cricetidae
Description: lncRNA (ENSCGRG00015039380.1)
Source: RNAcentral
AUGCUUCUGUUGGGGGAUGGGAGCAUAGAUGUCACUCAACACCAAGGUGCAUAGUGCUUCCUAACUGAAGGGCACAAGCAAACGGCAGAAACAACAUCCUUAUUUUGGGUUGUUUUUAAGGUGAGGAUGUUAUUGUUGUGAGGUAUUAUUGUUGAGAUGAUGUUUAUGUAGCAUCCAUUCUGGACUCAGGGGCCAGUGCCCAUCUCUGCUGUCAUUUGUUCUGUCACUUCAAAGGACAGGAAGAACAUGGGUGGUGAUUUUAGGAUCAUAUUCAGAACCUCAGGGAAUGAGUCAUUUGGGGUUGACGACUUUUCCGGUGACUACAGCACAAAUAAAUGAAGCAACAGGACGUUGUUGAUGUGUUUAUUGUUCGUUUUAACCAUAGUACAUAACUUCCAGAAAUGCACUCUCAUGAUCUCUUGACUGUGAGUCCAUCUGGUGUUUGUUUUUUUUUUUUUUUUUUUUUUUUUUUUUUUUUUUUUUUCUUCAAACCAUUCUGCUGAGCAUAGUUCUAAUAACAUCGCAGCUCAGCUUUGAGAACACAGCCUUGUGGGAAGAGGAACAAAAGGGAAUGGGGGAUGCAGUGCUGUCACCUAGGAGGGCUCAGAGUCCCCAGAGAAGAUCUGGACUAGAGUGCAAACCUAAAGUAGAGGCAUCUGGCUUGCCCUCGAUAUUGGAGGGAGAGGGAGAGGUUGACCCUAACCCUUACUUCAGUGUGCUGCUUCUGAUUUUUUUUUUUUUUUGAGAUGGUAUCAUAGCUCAGGCUAGCUUCACUCUCACUAUUUAGCCCAGGCUUGCCUCAAACUGGAGACAUUCCACCUGCUUUAGCCUGGGAUUACAGGCAUGGGUCGCCAUGACUAGCUUUCCAUGUGCCUUUGAGUCAUCUGGUGUCUUAGUUUUCUCAUUGUGACAAAACACCUGACAAAAGGAACUUAGGAAAGGUUUUCCUAGAGAGAAUGGUGCUUACCAAGUAGACCUGACUGAUUGGCAAGUGAGCCCUGGGAUCUACCAGUCUUCAUCUCCCUAGUGCAGGGGUUACAAGUACUGGAAGACAGAGACCUCAUCCAGUAACUGAUGGAACCAGACACAGAGAUCCACAACCAAGAACCAGUCUGAGCUCCGGGAAUCCAGGUGAAGAGAGGGAGGAGGGAAUAGCUGAGCAAGAGAGGUCAAGAUCAUGAAGGGGACAUCUACGGAGACAGCUGAACCAAGCUCCUGGAAACUCAUCAACUCUAGACCUACAACUGUGGAAACUCCAGGGGACUGAACUAGGCCCUGCGUAUGUGGGAGACAGUUGUGAAGCUUGGACUAUCAGAGGAGCCCCUGAUAGUAGGACCACAAUACAAACCUGGUACAUGAGCUAGCUGGUUGGAGCCCCAUUCCUUAGAGUGGGUUGCCAUCCUCAGUGGAGGUAGGAGCACGAUAUAAUCCCAGUAUAUGAGCUAUCUUGUUGGAGCCCAUUCCCUCUGGUGGGAUGCCAUGCUCAGUCUUAAUGUAUGGGAGAGGGGCCAGGCCCUGUCCUAACUUAUUGUGUCAGACUAUGUUGACUCCUUAUGGGAGCCCUUACCCAUGAGGAGGAGUGGACUUGGGGUGGGCUAGAGGGGAGCUAAGGGGAAGGGGUGAGAGGGAGAACUGUAGUUGGAAUGUAAAAUAAAAUCAAAAAGUAAAAAAAUGGAAAAAUUAUAUUGAUUGAUUGCUUGCUUGCUUGCUUGAUAAGUUAGAAACAGGGUUUUAUGUAGCCCAGGCCUGCCUCAGACUGGCUAUGUAGCCAGGGAUGACUUUAAUU